Molecule: long non-coding RNA, 280 nt
Filed under: Helianthus annuus (common sunflower)
Lineage: Eukaryota; Viridiplantae; Streptophyta; Magnoliopsida; Asterales; Asteraceae
Description: hypothetical non coding rna
Source: RNAcentral
UGUUACUCGAUCAUAACAUGUUGAAAAUUCAUAGGUUAUAACAAGUACCCCAUGCACAUGGGUGUGAUGCAGCUGAUGGAUUUUUAAGUGAUUGGUGGGGGCCAGACCCAAAUUCCCCGGAGAAUCUUCUGGAUGAAGAUUAUGAUCCAUCUCCAUCUACAUCCCAACUGACCCACAGGAAAGAUCGCAGGAGAUCAGUUUCAAGAACCAAAGAUACAGUUGUGGUCCCCGAAAAGCAUUCUAAAUUCAAGGUUGGGCAACAUGUUAUACUUACAGAUGA